AAAUUUUGUACUGUUUUCAAAUCAUAUUUGCAGUGUUUAUGUAUGCUGGUGUAUGAAGCCUGUGAUUUUGUAUGUGCUAAGGUUCUAACAGUCAGUUUCCAUUAAAAUAAAAACGAUGCUGUAGUAGUAGUGCUGGUAGUGGAAAUAGUGCUGUGGUAGUGGUGGUGGUAGCGCUAAUGCCGAUCGUACAAGUGGUGGUGGUGCUGCUAGUGAUUCUGGUCGUGGUAAUGGUGGUGGUAGUGGUAAUGCUGCUGGCACAAGUGGUUAUGUUGGUAGUGGUAGUGAAGGUGGUGGUUCUCGUAGUAGCAGUGGUGGUGGUGGUGCUAGUAGUAACGGUCCUGGUAUUAGUAGUGGCUGUCAGUGAUUAACAUCAACAGUUCUUUUUUCCUUUUAACUUUUCAUU
Long non-coding RNA from Hydractinia symbiolongicarpus, 403 nucleotides. RefSeq lists it as uncharacterized. Lineage: Eukaryota; Metazoa; Cnidaria; Hydrozoa; Anthoathecata; Hydractiniidae. The transcript is spliced from 2 exons. The record is from RefSeq and is a predicted model, not a curated record.